AGGGAAUCUUCCACAAUGGACGAAAGUCUGAUGGAGCAACGCCGCGUGAGUGAAGAAGGUUCUCGGAUCGUAAAACUCUGUUGUGAGGGAAGAACAAGUACCGGAGUAACUGCCGGUACCUUGACGGUACCUCAUUAGAAAGCCACGGCUAACUACGUGCCAGCAGCCGCGGUAAUACGUAGGUGGCAAGCGUUGUCCGGAAUCAUUGGGCGUAAAGCGCGCGCAGGCGGUCCCUUAAGUCUGAUGUGAAAGCCCACGGCUCAACCGUGGAGGGUCAUUGGAAACUGGGGGACUUGAGUGCAGAAGAGGAAAGCGGAAUUCCAAGUGUAGCGGUGAAAUGCGUAGAGAUUUGGAGGAACACCAGUGGCGAAGGCGGCUUUCUGGUCUGUAACUGACGCUGAGGCGCGAAAGCGUGGGGAGCAAACAGGAUUAGAUACCCUGGUAGUCCACGCCGUAAACGAUGAGUGCUAAGUGUUAGGGGGUUUCCGCCCCUUAGUGCUGCAGCUAACGCAUUAAGCACUCCGCCUGGGGAGUACGGUCGCAAGACUG
RNAcentral lists this ribosomal RNA (549 nucleotides) under uncultured bacterium. RNAcentral's name for it is "bacterial SSU rRNA". It matches the Rfam family "Bacterial small subunit ribosomal RNA", at positions 356 to 896 of the family's 1533-position model. The record is from RNAcentral.